CUAAAAUGGCAGACCAUUGCUUAGGACUUAAACCCCUACCACGAAGUUAUUCACUUCUUUUAGAAA
RNAcentral lists this transfer RNA (66 nucleotides) under Saron marmoratus. Its description in RNAcentral is "tRNA-Leu". The record is from RNAcentral. Lineage: Eukaryota; Metazoa; Arthropoda; Malacostraca; Decapoda; Hippolytidae.